AGUGAACGCUGGCGGUAGGCCUAACACAUGCAAGUCGAACGGCAGCACAGUAAGAGCUUGCUCUUACGGGUGGCGAGUGGCGGACGGGUGAGGAAUACAUCGGAAUCUAUUUUUUCGUGGGGGAUAACGUAGGGAAACUUACGCUAAUACCGCAUACGACCUACGGGUGAAAGCAGGGGAUCUUCGGACCUUGCGCGAUUGAAUGAGCCGAUGUCGGAUUAGCUAGUUGGCGGGGUAAAGGCCCACCAAGGCGACGAUCCGUAGCUGGUCUGAGAGGAUGAUCAGCCACACUGGAACUGAGACACGGUCCAGACUCCUACGGGAGGCAGCAGUGGGGAAUAUUGGACAAUGGGCGCAAGCCUGAUCCAGCCAUACCGCGUGGGUGAAGAAGGCCUUCGGGUUGUAAAGCCCUUUUGUUGGGAAAGAAAGGCAGCAGGUUAAUACCCCGCUGUUCUGACGGUACCCAAAGAAUAAGCACCGGCUAACUUCGUG
This 492-nucleotide ribosomal RNA is filed under the name uncultured bacterium. RNAcentral's name for it is "partial 16S ribosomal RNA". It matches the Rfam family "Bacterial small subunit ribosomal RNA", at positions 29 to 507 of the family's 1533-position model. The record is from RNAcentral.